GAUAGUCCCGUAGGCGAAAAUUCAAAUAUAGAACUAAGAUUGAGAUAAGUAGGGCGGGACACGUGAAAUCCUGUUUGAAGAUAGGGGGACCAUCCUCUAAGGCUAAAUACUCGUAAUCGACCGAUAGUGAACCAGUACCGUGAGGGAAAGGCGAAAAGAACCCCGGAAGGGGAGUGAAAUAGAUCCUGAAACCGCAUGCAUACAAACAGUGGGAGCCCGCAAGGGUGACUGCGUACCUUUUGUAUAAUGGGUCAGCGACUUACAUUCAGUAGCAAGCUUAACCGAAUAGGGGAGGCGCAGCGAAAGCGAGUCUUAAUAGGGCGAUAGUUGCUGGGUGUAGACCGAAACCAGAUGAUCUACUCAUGGCCAGGAUGAAGCGAGGGUAACACCUCGUGGAGGUCCGAACCCACUAAUGUUGAAAAAUUAGGGGAUGAGCUG
Molecule: ribosomal RNA, 438 nt
Filed under: uncultured bacterium
Lineage: Bacteria
Description: bacterial LSU rRNA
Rfam family: Bacterial large subunit ribosomal RNA
Source: RNAcentral